AACAUGGGCUAUUUAAGAAGUAUUCCUUUAAUUUGUGUAUGCAUUCUAGUCAGAGACGUACAGGCAAGUUCUCCACACAUCCAGAACAAGAGGCCAUUGCCUGCAUUUCUGCACCACUACUGCCUUCUCAGUUUCAUUCGCUGCUUCUUCCUUGGCCAGGCGAAAAACCAGUGAGAGAAAAAACAACCCUUGGCAUGCAAACUGGGCACAGUCACAACCCUUGCUUGAAGCCAUCCUAGUCAAAGUUUACCAUUGGUUUUUGUUCCACAUACCACAGACUAAGAAAAUCCUAGACUUUGAAGUUCUGCUGCCAUGAAAACCUCAAGAUUCCUCAUUCAUGGCUUCAGCAAAUGCUUUGGCCUCAUUGUCCUUUUUACUUUGGGCAUUGUUUGGGGUUCAGACAUGACAACAGGGAAACCUACUACUGCCAAACAUCUCUCAGUCAUUGUCACUCCUACAUCUGCCACAGCUGAACAAAAGAAAGAUGGAAACAUCACACCCGGUCCAGAGAAGCAUUCAGAUGUCUCAUUGGCAUCUCCCACAGGAUCCAAGCCACUGGCUGAAUCACCUUCCAGCACACCCAAAAGAAAGGACAUGGCACUAGCACCCAAACUGCCUCCCAAGCAAACCCUUGCUGUGACCACAGAUCCUGGAAAAAAGGCCACUUCCAACACUGUGCCAUCUCUUUCUGACCAACAAGGAACUGUUGGGGAUAUUUCCAAUACGUCCACAUCGAAAAAACCAAGACAGACUGCGAAGGAAACAGAGAUGACACCUGAACCACCACAAGAUUGGUGGGACUACUUCCCAAUUUGCAAUCAAUAUGAGAUGGAUUUUGUGAACUCAAGCUCUUUAGGGAUUGAACACAUCAUCAUAACCAUAGUAGUAGUCUCCAUCAUCCUGCUCAUCACUCUUUGUCUGUGCUGUUGCUUUAAACACUGAACCAAAGUGUCUCCAUUUUGUUUACCUUUAACCAUUUUCUUUAUAUCUUUUCCUUUUUAAGAAUUUUGUCUGUAGAGCAUAGAUGAGAGGGCUCACUCACCAUAAGGCCAGCCUGGACUUAGUUCAGGUGGUUCGUAAAACAAUAAACAAGGGGGCUUAGUUCAGCUAUGCAAGACGUAAAGAUAAGCAUGUGCAGUAGCAUCUGAGGCUCUUUCCUUUCUUUGUGUUUUUGAAAAAUAUACAAGGCUUGUAAGUACGCAAUAAACCUGUCUCACUCUCUAGCUACAU
Molecule: long non-coding RNA, 1230 nt
Organism: Sceloporus undulatus (fence lizard)
Lineage: Eukaryota; Metazoa; Chordata; Lepidosauria; Squamata; Phrynosomatidae
Exons: 3
Source: RefSeq, a predicted model, not a curated record